AGGUAGUAUUAGUUGUACGGAAGGGUGUUCCCUGAAAUCACGCUUUCCAGCCACGUGUAUUGUAUUAUGAAAAUUUUCAAACAUUUCUCCUCUCUCACUGAAUUUCCUUCACCAAUUUAUCUAAUUUCCUUCGCCGCUUCUCCUCCUCUCUCAAUUACGUUUGUUUCAUUGAAACAUCUUUUGACCGGAAACAAUAUCAAAAUGAAGAUGUGAGACUGAAAAUUUGCAAUUGGUGUUUUCAGUUUCUUCCCAGUUCUCUUCACAGAAGCGCAGGUUGAUAUUACUUUGUUGUAUUCAUCGGCUUGUUGCAUUAACCUAUUGCUAGCGUGAAAGCUGUUUGACGAUUGUGAUAAAUACCACUAUGGAGAUCAUGGUUCUUUAGAAUGUUAUCACUCUUGAAUACGGGGUAUGACAGCAACUUGGAUUGUAUAAAACAGGUAUGUUACCUUUCCUUUUAUUAAUUGGUGUAUUGGAGAUGCAUAGGAUAGUUUUAAUUGUACCUUCACUCUUGGUUUAAGAACUCAAGAUAGCAAUAACAAGAUGGAUUAUACUUCAGCUGCUUUACACUGUGGUGUCGGACAAGCACAUGAUUAAGGAUUUGAAGUAUUUUCUAAUAGUUUCAACUUAGUUUCCACUUGCUGCAUUUAUGUGUGAAUAUUUUUGUUAAAAAAAAUUGAUUAUCAAGGCAGAAUUCAUCGAAGGGUAUAGUUAUAUUCAAAGAUGGUUACAAGAUAAGUUACUUUCCAGGAAAUAAUUCUUCGCUCGGCUAAUCCAAAGUCAUGGAAAGGCCUCUCAAGCAUGAACGUAGUUUAAACUAUAUAUAUACAAUCCUUUGGCAUCUUGAGUUCAUCAGGUCUCAUUGCUUUCUUGCCUACAAAAUAAAAACUGUUUAUUUAUUUUUUGCAAAAAAUUUCCAUACGACCUUAAUUAACACAAGCAGAAAAGGAGAGAGCUGAGGGAGAUGUGAAAUAACGACACCAAAAGGAAAAGGGCCAUGAAUGCCAACCUUAAACAAUCACAUUGGAAGACAAAAACAGGAGUUUGAUGCAGAGGCUAAUACUCCUGAAAUGGAAGUUGAUAAGAUGCGUCAACACAUCAAGAACAAUAGGUUCUUUCACAUGGUGCCAACUUACUCAUGCAUAUGCAGAUUAUAGUGCUUUGGUUCGACUUCUCCCCCGGUGUUUGUGUAUUUCAGAGGUACAAUAAGCUGAUUUCUAGCUGCCUGCCAUAGCAAUUGUCAUCUUUGGGUAGGGAAGGAUACACGUCUUACCGCUUCUUGCUGCCUGCUCAGUUUAGGUGAUCUACACAGUUUUUAGAAAAGUCUGUUUGGGCAGAGCUCUGUAGCAGAUUCAUAGCAGCUUCAGUUGAAGAGCUUUUGAGGUUUAUAUGGCCUGAAUAAUAAGUGAGGAUUACUCACCGUGUCUGGUCUGUAAGUCAUACUGACUGUCUUUCUUUUUCGCUCUCUACUCUCUUAUUUGUAUCUCCAAAUCUGUUUACUUUAUUAAGGAAAACAAAUGAAAGGAAAAUGUUGAUAUUGAGGAAAGAGAAAUAUUUUACAAAUAAAAGAAAGGAAAGGAUGUUAUUUGCAUGGAGCGACAUGAUUUUUCUGAUUUUUUUAAUCUUUUAGUCCUGUUGACACAACAAUGUUGCAAGAGAGAGAAUGCUUACGACACGAGACAUCUUUCAUUCCCAUACAAGGUUAGGAUGCUAAAUUUGUUGUGUCUAUACACACAUUCCAGUGCAUAUAGAACGUUCUAUUUUAAGAAAAAUUAUGUUGUAGACAUGUAUUAUGAAUGUGUAUAUAGCAAAAUUUGUAGGGUCUGAACUAUGAAAAAAUCAGAAACAAAGAUGUAUAUGCCAAGCCACAAAGUUCAACAGAAGACAGCUUAUGCUUGACCAUGAUUAAACUAUUUGUGAAAGGAGAGAAGGGAAACAUAAGAUGCUUUGAACGUAGAAAAAAUUUAGUUAGAUCUUUCCUCUAUCUCUUGGCAUAUAGAAUGUAAAUAAUAUGGCUCAAAUGCUAGGUUCAUUCUACCAUUCCCAAAUGUCGAUUAUCUUUCAGCUAUUUCCACAAAUCUGAAAUGGUACAUGUGCCUAAUUUUAGACUUAUUAGUACAUGUCUUUUUUUCCAUAGAUCCACCACAUAAUUGUAUUUGUAGAGAGAUUCAUUCAUCUUCUCUCCUUUCGAUAUUUUGUCCGGUUCUCUUCUCCUCUUCUUAGCUUAUGGUCCAAUUUUCAGGUAUUUGUUUGUAGGUCCUUUCUCUUUGAUCUAAAUUUUAAAGGGAUUUUCUAUUUGAUCUAAUCUAAAAUUUUGGAAUUAAGAAAGUAAAGACGUGAAAAAGGAGAGGCUCUUGGAGCUCUUUACUAGAAUUAAUGGUGAAUCUUUUGCUAAGAGUUUGAAAAACAAAUUUCUGGCUAAAUAUUGUUAUUUUUCUUUCCCUCAAUCUAUCAGGUAAUUCGAUCCAUAGCAGAUUUGACCAGUAAAUGAUUAUGUAUGUUCAAGUAAAUUCAAUCUAUUCCCAAAAGGGAUAACUGAUAGAGGUUGGGGUGCAUGGUGUGAGAUUUAGAGUGUUACUGCUCUCUAUUCUUU
Long non-coding RNA from Lycium barbarum (goji berry), 2590 nucleotides. RefSeq lists it as uncharacterized. NCBI's taxonomy places the organism in Eukaryota, Viridiplantae, Streptophyta, Magnoliopsida, Solanales, Solanaceae. The record is from RefSeq and is a predicted model, not a curated record. The transcript has 4 exons.